GAUGAAGAACUUAGCGAAAUGCGAUAAGUAAUGUGAAUUGCAGAAUCCAGUGAAUCAUCGAAUCUUUGAACGCACAUUGCGCCCGCCAGCAUUCUGGCGGGCAUGCCUGUUCGAGCGUCAUUUCAACCCUCGACCUCCCUUUGGGGAAGUCGGCGUUGGGGACCGGCAGCACACCGCCGGCCCUGAAAUGGAGUGGCGGCCCGUCCGCGGCGACCUCUGCGUAGUAAUCCAACUCGCACCGGAACCCCGACGCGGCCACGCCGUAAAACACCCAACUUCUGAACGUUGACCUCGAAUCAGGUAGGACUACCCGCUGAACUUAAGCAUAUCAAUAAGCGGAGGA
RNAcentral lists this unclassified non-coding RNA (343 nucleotides) under soil metagenome. RNAcentral's name for it is "partial contains 5.8S ribosomal RNA, internal transcribed spacer 2, and large subunit ribosomal RNA". The stretch from base 1 to 120 matches the Rfam family "5.8S ribosomal RNA", at positions 35 to 154 of the family's 154-position model. The record is from RNAcentral.